ACAUCUUUGCAGUAUCACCGCCAGAGCUAGCCUCAUUUAUCAUGGCAUCCUUCAUCAGCUGUCCGUCAAUCUAUUCUGUGGCUACAUGUGGUAAAGCCAUGGAUGAUCUUCGAUCGCAGGGUGGUCAUGCCUGAAAGCCUACAGCGCAGAGGGCAACCUAGCAUCUUUGGCAGAGUCUUGUAUGUCUCCUUCAAUUGAUUAUGGGUAUACUACAGCUUGUCCUGAACUCAUGUACUGUUGUCAACUUCUAUAUUACUAAAGAGUAAUGAACUGAUUAUCACUUCUUUGAAACUCAUUAUAUUGU
RNAcentral lists this long non-coding RNA (304 nucleotides) under Zea mays. RNAcentral describes it as "long non-coding RNA NONZMAT001532". The record is from RNAcentral. Lineage: Eukaryota; Viridiplantae; Streptophyta; Magnoliopsida; Poales; Poaceae.